AACGAACGCUGGCGGCAUGCCUAACACAUGCAAGUCGAACGAAGCCUUCGGGCUUAGUGGCGCACGGGUGCGUAACGCGUGGGAAUCUGCCCUUGGGUUCGGAAUAACAGUUAGAAAUGACUGCUAAUACCGAAUGAUGUCUUCGGACCAAAGAUUUAUCGCCCAAGGAUGAGCCCGCGUCGGAUUAGCUAGUUGGUGAGGUAAAGGCUCACCAAGGCGACGAUCCGUAGCUGGUCUGAGAGGAUGAUCAGCCACACUGGGACUGAGACACGGUCCAUACUCCUACGGGAGGCAGCAGUGGGGAAUUUUACACAAUGGCGAAAGCCUGAUGUAGCGACACCGCGUGAGCGAAGAAGCCCUUUGGGGUGUAAAGCUCUGUCGGCAGGGACGAAAAAAUGACGGUACCUGCAGAGGAAGCAAUCGGCUAACUACGUGCCAGCAGCCGCGGUAAU
RNAcentral lists this ribosomal RNA (452 nucleotides) under uncultured bacterium. Its description in RNAcentral is "bacterial SSU rRNA". It matches the Rfam family "Bacterial small subunit ribosomal RNA", at positions 29 to 524 of the family's 1533-position model. The record is from RNAcentral.